GACGAACGCUGGCGGCGUGCUUAACACAUGCAAGUCGAACGGAAAGGCCCUGCUUUUGUGGGGUGCUCGAGUGGCGAACGGGUGAGUAACACGUGAGUAACAUGCCCUUGACUUUGGGAUAACUUCAGGAAACUGGGGCUAAUACCGGAUAGGAGCUCCUGCUGCAUGGUGGGGGAUGGAAAGUUUCGGCGGUUGGGGAUGGACUCGCGGCUUAUCAGCUUGUUGGUGGGGUAGUGGCUUACCAAGGCUUUGACGGGUAGCCGGCCUGAGAGGGUGACCGGCCACAUUGGGACUGGGGUACGGCCCAGACUCCUACGGGAGGCAGCGGUGGGGGAUAUUGCACGAUGGGCGGAGGCCUGAUGCAGCAACGCCGCGUGCGGGAUGACUGCCUUCGGGUUGUAAACCGCUUUCGCCUGUGACGAAGAGUGAGUGACGGUAAUGGGUAAAGAAGCACCGGCUAACUACGUG
Molecule: ribosomal RNA, 468 nt
Filed under: uncultured bacterium
Lineage: Bacteria
Description: partial 16S ribosomal RNA
Rfam family: Bacterial small subunit ribosomal RNA
Source: RNAcentral